ACGGAAGGCAGCAGUGAGGAAUAUUGGUCAAUGGGCGGAAGCCUGAACCAGCCAUGUCGCGUGCAGGACUACGGUCCUACGGGUCUUAAACUGCUUUUGCAAGGGGAUAAAGUGGGGCACGCGUGCCCCUCUGCAGGUACCUUGCGAAUAAGGAUCGGCUAACUCCGUGCCAGCAGCCGCGGUAAUACGGAGGAUCCGAGCGUUAUCCGGAUUUAUUGGGUUUAAAGGGUGCGUAGGCGGGCUGUUAAGUCAGCGGUGAAACCCCCGGGCUCAACCCGGUGACUGCCAUUGAAACUGGCGGCCUUGAGUACGUUGGGAGUGCGCGGAAUGUGUGGUGUAGCGGUGAAAUGCAUAGAUAUCACACAGAACACCGAUCGCGUAGGCAGCGCACUACGCCGCAACUGACGCUGAGGCACGAAGGCGCGGGGAUCGAACAGGAUUAGAUACCCUGGUA
This 454-nucleotide ribosomal RNA is filed under the name uncultured Porphyromonadaceae bacterium. RNAcentral describes it as "partial 16S ribosomal RNA". It matches the Rfam family "Bacterial small subunit ribosomal RNA", at positions 341 to 792 of the family's 1533-position model. The record is from RNAcentral. Lineage: Bacteria; Pseudomonadati; Bacteroidota; Bacteroidia; Bacteroidales; Porphyromonadaceae.